Molecule: ribosomal RNA, 253 nt
Filed under: uncultured bacterium
Lineage: Bacteria
Description: partial 16S ribosomal RNA
Rfam family: Bacterial small subunit ribosomal RNA
Source: RNAcentral
UACGAAGGUGGCUAGCGUUGUUCGGAAUCACUGGGCGUAAAGCGCGCGUAGGCGGCAAUACAAGUCAGAGGUGAAAUGCCGGGGCUUAACCCCGGAACUGCCUUUGAAACUGUAUUGCUAGAGUCUCGGAGGGGAUAGCGGAAUUCCUAAUGUAGAGGUGAAAUUCGUAGAUAUUAGGAGGAACACCUGUGGCGAAGGCGGCUAUCUGGACGAGUACUGACGCUGAGGCGCGAAAGCGUGGGGAGCGAACAGG